UGUAGGCCCAAAUCUAUCGUUCACAAAAUACGGAGGCCUAUAGACUAUCAUACUUUGAGCUGCAAAUUUUUGAAAAGCCUUAACAUAUGAGCUCUCCAAUAGAUGGCCCGUAGCUCACUUGUUGUUGAUAUUUAGACCUUCGGCUUUUGUUGUCCAAAUGUCUUGGGUUAGCUAUAUCAGUAGAGUUCCUACCAAAGCCUACAAAUGAAUGAAGCAAUGAAUCCUCUAAAACCCCUUUGACAUAAACUCGAUUCCUCUCCACAGAAAGCCAGAACCCUCUUUUUCUCUCUCCCACUUUUGCCACACGCUCCAAAACGGAAUCCCCACCACGCCAAUGGCACCUGACCAUCAAAUCCGACGCCAACGCCGUAGAAAUCGACUUGGUGAGAAGCAGUUGAGAAAAGUGGGACGAACAUUCGGGGGUAUGGUUGACAUGUCAGCAUACGCUAACCGUCACGCGUUUAUCCACUUACCUCAGUGAUCUUACAAGAAGGUCGGGAGAGGAAAAGCCUCGACAUCUUCGAACGCAAAGGAGCCGUAGCUCCUUCUGAACCUUACACAUGUGGAGUUUGCGGUCUAAAAUGCAAGACAAAUUUGGAUUUGUAAAUAACAUUUCAAGCAAUUACAUAAAAGGGAAACAGAAAGAGUUUGUUGAAAGGCAAGAAACGACAGCGGUGUUAGGAAAGGGGCAUGUAAUAUGGGUAUUAACAAGAGGGAAACUGCAGCACAAUAAUGGGUUUAGAAUCAUUUUCUCUUUCAUCAACAAUAUAGUACUGUAUGUGUGGCUCAUCUAUGUUGGUGGACAAGCCGCUUUGUAUGUGUAUCUUGAACUUGAUCAAUGGACAGUAGUGGAAUAUGGUUGCUGACUUGUUUUUUAUUUUAA
Gossypium raimondii (Peruvian cotton) is the source of this 883-nucleotide long non-coding RNA. RefSeq lists it as uncharacterized. The transcript is spliced from 2 exons. The record is from RefSeq and is a predicted model, not a curated record. NCBI's taxonomy places the organism in Eukaryota, Viridiplantae, Streptophyta, Magnoliopsida, Malvales, Malvaceae.